AAACCGUUUAGGGGUAAACCUGAGAAACCCGAAAGGUCGAAGGGAGAAAUUCAUUCGCGUUUCGAGGCAGGCGUCGGGCGGUCGAGUGACGGAGAACGUUCGCGCGUUUUCCGCACCUUCCGUUCGUUCGAUCCGGCCACGAACGCGUGCACUUUUCUCCUGGUAGGACGUCGCGAUCCGUUGGGUGUCGGUCUACGGCCCGAUGCGGAGCCCGUACGUGAGGUUUCACGACCUCUACGGUGCGGACGGUCGUGUCCCGGCUGACUCGCUCGACGGUAUGCGAGAGGUUUUGGGCCGCUCUUCACCGAGCGUUCGGCCCGUCGCAAGCGCUCCAGAUGUUUGUCGGCGAUCGGACCCAGUGCCGAUUCCGUCCUCUGGUGACUGUUGGCGGCGGAGUCCUCGAACAGUGCCCUCGACCGAUCUGCGACGCUAUAGCUUUGGGUAAUUUCAGGACCCGUCUUGAA
Molecule: ribosomal RNA, 464 nt
Filed under: Tanysphyrus lemnae
Lineage: Eukaryota; Metazoa; Arthropoda; Insecta; Coleoptera; Erirhinidae
Description: eukaryotic LSU rRNA
Source: RNAcentral